UUAAGUUAUUAAGGGCGCACGGUGGAUGCCUUGGCACUAGAAGCCGAUGAAGGACGUUACUAACGACGAUAUGCUUUGGGGAGCUGUAAGUAAGCUUUGAUCCAGAGAUUUCCGAAUGGGGAAACCCAGCAUGAGUUAUGUCAUGUUAUCGAUAUGUGAAUACAUAGCAUAUCAGAAGGCACACCCGGAGAACUGAAACAUCUUAGUACCCGGAGGAAGAGAAAGAAAAUUCGAUUCCCUUAGUAGCGGCGAGCGAAACGGGAAGAGCCCAAACCAAAAAGCUUGCUUGUUGGGGUUGUAGGACACUCUAUACGGAGUUACAAAGGACGACAUUAGACGAAUCAUCUGGAAAGAUGAAUCAAAGAAGGUAAUAAUCCUGUAGUCGAAAAUGUUGUCUCUCUUGAGUGGAUCCUGAGUACGACGGAGCACGUGAAAUUCCGUCGGAAUCUGGGAGGACCAUCUCCUAAGGCUAAAUACUCUCUAGUGACCGAUAGUGAACCAGUACCGUGAGGGAAAGGUGAAAAGCACCCCGGAAGGGGAGUGAAAUAGAACCUGAAACCGUGUGCUUACAAGUAGUCAGAGCCCGUUAAUGGGUGAUGGCGUGCCUUUUGUAGAAUGAACCGGCGAGUUACGAUUUGAUGCAAGGUUAAGCAGUAAAUGUGGAGCCGUAGCGAAAGCGAGUCUGAAUAGGGCGUUUAGUAUUUGGUCGUAGACCCGAAACCAGGUGAUCUACCCUUGGUCAGGUUGAAGUUCAGGUAACACUGAAUGGAGGACCGAACCGACUUACGUUGAAAAGUGAGCGGAUGAACUGAGGGUAGCGGAGAAAUUCCAAUCGAACCUGGAGAUAGCUGGUUCUCUCCGAAAUAGCUUUAGGGCUAGCCUCAAGUGAUGAUUAUUGGAGGUAGAGCACUGUUUGGACGAGGGGCCCCUCUCGGGUUACCGAAUUCAGACAAACUCCGAAUGCCAAUUAAUUUAACUUGGGAGUCAGAACAUGGGUGAUAAGGUCCGUGUUCGAAAGGGAAACAGCCCAGACCACCAGCUAAGGUCCCAAAAUAUAUGUUAAGUGGAAAAGGAUGUGGCGUUGCCCAGACAACUAGGAUGUUGGCUUAGAAGCAGCCAUCAUUUAAAGAGUGCGUAAUAGCUCACUAGUCGAGUGACACUGCGCCGAAAAUGUACCGGGGCUAAACAUAUUACCGAAGCUGUGGAUUGUCCUUUGGACAAUGGUAGGAGAGCGUUCUAAGGGCGUUGAAGCAUGAUCGUAAGGACAUGUGGAGCGCUUAGAAGUGAGAAUGCCGGUGUGAGUAGCGAAAGACGGGUGAGAAUCCCGUCCACCGAUUGACUAAGGUUUCCAGAGGAAGGCUCGUCCGCUCUGGGUUAGUCGGGUCCUAAGCUGAGGCCGACAGGCGUAGGCGAUGGAUAACAGGUUGAUAUUCCUGUACCACCUAUAAUCGUUUUAAUCGAUGGGGGGACGCAGUAGGAUAGGCGAAGCGUGCGAUUGGAUUGCACGUCUAAGCAGUAAGGCUGAGUAUUAGGCAAAUCCGGUACUCGUUAAGGCUGAGCUGUGAUGGGGAGAAGACAUUGAGUCUUCGAGUCGUUGAUUUCACACUGCCGAGAAAAGCCUCUAGAUAGAAAAUAGGUGCCCGUACCGCAAACCGACACAGGUAGUCAAGAUGAGAAUUCUAAGGUGAGCGAGCGAACUCUCGUUAAGGAACUCGGCAAAAUGACCCCGUAACUUCGGGAGAAGGGGUGCUCUUUAGGGUUAACGCCCAGAAGAGCCGCAGUGAAUAGGCCCAAGCGACUGUUUAUCAAAAACACAGGUCUCUGCUAAACCGUAAGGUGAUGUAUAGGGGCUGACGCCUGCCCGGUGCUGGAAGGUUAAGAGGAGUGGUUAGCUUCUGCGAAGCUACGAAUCGAAGCCCCAGUAAACGGCGGCCGUAACUAUAACGGUCCUAAGGUAGCGAAAUUCCUUGUCGGGUAAGUUCUGACCCGCACGAAAGGCGUAACGAUUUGGGCACUGUCUCAACGAGAGACUCGGUGAAAUCAUAGUACCUGUGAAGAUGCAGGUUACCCGCGACAGGACGGAAAGACCCCGUGGAGCUUUACUGUAGCCUGAUAUUGAAAUUCGGCACAGCUUGUACAGGAUAGGUAGGAGCCUUUGAAACGUGAGCGCUAGCUUACGUGGAGGCGCUGGUGGGAUACUACCCUAGCUGUGUUGGCUUUCUAACCCGCACCACUUAUCGUGGUGGGAGACAGUGUCAGGCGGGCAGUUUGACUGGGGCGGUCGCCUCCUAAAAGGUAACGGAGGCGCUCAAAGGUUCCCUCAGAAUGGUUGGAAAUCAUUCAUAGAGUGUAAAGGCAUAAGGGAGCUUGACUGCGAGACCUACAAGUCGAGCAGGGUCGAAAGACGGACUUAGUGAUCCGGUGGUUCCGCAUGGAAGGGCCAUCGCUCAACGGAUAAAAGCUACCCCGGGGAUAACAGGCUUAUCUCCCCCAAGAGUUCACAUCGACGGGGAGGUUUGGCACCUCGAUGUCGGCUCAUCGCAUCCUGGGGCUGUAGUCGGUCCCAAGGGUUGGGCUGUUCGCCCAUUAAAGCGGUACGCGAGCUGGGUUCAGAACGUCGUGAGACAGUUCGGUCCCUAUCCGUCGUGGGCGUAGGAAAUUUGAGAGGAGCUGUCCUUAGUACGAGAGGACCGGGAUGGACAUACCUCUGGUGUACCAGUUGUCGUGCCAACGGCAUAGCUGGGUAGCUAUGUGUGGACGGGAUAAGUGCUGAAAGCAUCUAAGCAUGAAGCCCCCCUCAAGAUGAGAUUUCCCAACUUCGGUUAUAAGAUCCCUCAAAGAUGAUGAGGUUAAUAGGUUCGAGGUGGAAGCAUGGUGACAUGUGGAGCUGACGAAUACUAAUCGAUCGAAGACUUAAUCAA
RNAcentral lists this ribosomal RNA (2921 nucleotides) under Staphylococcus aureus DAR2000. Its description in RNAcentral is "bacterial LSU rRNA". It matches the Rfam family "Bacterial large subunit ribosomal RNA". Lineage: Bacteria; Bacillati; Bacillota; Bacilli; Caryophanales; Staphylococcaceae. The record is from RNAcentral.